CUCUCUAGAAGUCCUACAUUCCUCUUAGACAUACAACACAUAGUGACAAGAGAUGAUGAAAAGGCUGAAGUACUUAAUGCCUUCUUUGCCUCAGUCUCUAGCAGGAAGACCAGUUGUUCCCCUGGUACUCGUCCCCCUGAGCUGGGAGGUAGGGAAAGGGAGCAGGAUGAAGCCUUCAUAAUCCAUGAGGAAAUGGUUAGAGAUCUGCUACUGCACAAAGAUUUACACACAUCUAUGGGGCCAGAUGGGAUCCACCUGUCACUACUGAGGGAGCUGGCAGAAUCACUUCCCAAGCUGCUUUCCAUCGUUGAUCAGCAGUCCUGGCUAUCAGGGGAGGUCCCAGUCAAUUGGCAACUAGCAAAUUUGACAGCCGUCUACAAGAAAGGCCAGAAGGACAAUUCAGGGAACUGCAGGCCUGUAGGUCUGACCUCAGUGACGGGGAAGUUCAUGGAGCAGAUUGUCUUGACUACCAUCACGGAACAGUUCCAGGACCACCAGGUGAUCAGGCCCAGUCAGAAGUUAUUUAUCAAAGGCAGGUCCUGCUUGACAAAUGUCAUAUCGUUCUAUGACAAGGUGAUGCACUCAGUAGAUGAGGGAAUGGCUGUGGAUGUGGUCCACCUGGAAUGCAGUAAGGCUUUUGACACCAUUUCCCACAACAUUCUCCUGAAGAAGCUGGCUGCUCAAGGUUUAGAGCUUCUUUGGAUUAAAAACUGGCUGGGUGGCUGGGCCCAAAGAGUCAUGCUGAAUGGAGCUAAAUCCAUUUGGAGGUCAGCCACUAGUGGUGACCCCCAGGGCUCAGUAUUGGGGCCAGUUCUCAUCUUCAUCAGUGAUCUAAAUGAGGAGAUGGAGUGCACCCUCAGUAAGUUUGCAGACAACACCAAGUUAGGCACAAGUAUUGGUCUGCUCGAGGGUAGGAGGGCUCUGCAGAGGGACCUGAAUAGGCUGGACUCAUGGGCCAAGGCCAAAUCUAUGAAGUUCAACAAGGCUAAGUGCUGGCUCCUGCACUUGGGGCAGCAGAGACACCCUGAUCAGGCAGGUUGUUUUCCCAAGGUGAGGCUCAUCCCCUGUACACCAGGUGUGCUGGCCCCUGCAAUGUGGAGGAUAUCCGAAAUGUGGAUUCCCAAAUGUGGGAACCUUGGCUGCAUACUUUGUGGUAGUGAGGGCCUGCAUUCCCAUGUUCCCUUGCAAUAUUUGAGUGCACACAUGCAGAGUGACUAGGGAGGGCAGGAAGCAGAUGGCUCUCUACUCUCUCUUCUGGGAGCAAUAUGGAGUGGCUUUCUAGUGAGACAAAAAUUGUGUCCACCUGUUGCACCUGCUGGGCUGAGAAACCCAGACAGGGGGGCCACG
This 1347-nucleotide long non-coding RNA is filed under the name Anas platyrhynchos platyrhynchos (common mallard). RNAcentral describes it as "lncRNA (ENSAPLG00000028702.1)". The stretch from base 1002 to 1185 matches the Rfam family "U1 spliceosomal RNA". The record is from RNAcentral. Lineage: Eukaryota; Metazoa; Chordata; Aves; Anseriformes; Anatidae.